UACAGAGGUGGCAAGCGUUGUUCGGAAUUACUGGGCGUAAAGGGCGCGUAGGCGGCCUUCUAAGUCAGACGUGAAAUCCCCAGGCUUAACUUGGGAACUGCGUCUGAUACUGGAGGGCUCGAGUGCGGGAGAGGGAUGUGGAAUUCCAGGUGUAGCGGUGAAAUGCGUAGAUAUCUGGAGGAACACCGGUGGCGAAGGCGGCAUCCUGGACCGACACUGACGCUGAGGCGCGAAGGCGUGGGGAGCAAACAGG
This 253-nucleotide ribosomal RNA is filed under the name uncultured bacterium. RNAcentral describes it as "partial 16S ribosomal RNA". It matches the Rfam family "Bacterial small subunit ribosomal RNA", at positions 524 to 776 of the family's 1533-position model. The record is from RNAcentral.